AAUGAACGUUGGCGGCGUGGAUUAGGCAUGCAAGUCGUACGGGCCGCAAGGCCAGUGGCGCAAGGGUGAGUAAGGCGACGGCAACCAACCCCAUGGUCGGGUAUAGCCGCGGGAAACCGCGGGUAAUCCCCAGCGACGCAUCGGGCCGGCAUCGGCCCGCUGCCAAAGCUCCGGCGCCGUGGGACGGGCCGUCGUGGUAUUAGGUAGUUGGCGGGGUAACGGCCCACCAAGCCGACGAUGCCUACCGGGCGUGCGAGCGUGGCCCGGCACACUGGGACUGAGACACUGCCCAGACUCCUAUGGGAGGCUGCAGUCGAGAAUCUUCGGCAAUGGGCGCAAGCCUGACCGAGCGACGCCGCGUGGAGGACGAAGGCCUUCAGGUUGUAAACUCCUGUCGAGGGGGAAGAAGGCCCCGCGAGGGGCUUGACUGAUCCCUGGAGGAAGCACGGGCUAAGUUCGUGCCAGCAGCCGCGGUAAGACGAACCGUGCGAACGUUAUUCGGAAUCACUGGGCUUAAAGCGCGUGUAGGCGGGACGGCACGUCGGUCGCUGAAAUCCCCCGGCUU
Molecule: ribosomal RNA, 565 nt
Filed under: uncultured bacterium
Lineage: Bacteria
Description: bacterial SSU rRNA
Rfam family: Bacterial small subunit ribosomal RNA
Source: RNAcentral